UUUAGUAUCCUGGCGUCAGGAUAAACGACUGGCGGCGCACAUAAGACAUGCAAGUACGAACGAACUUAACUCAUUCUUUUAGAUUGAGAGCGGUUAGUGGCGGACUGGUGAGUAACACGUAAGCAACCUGCCUAUCAGGGGGGAAUAACAGUGAGAAAUCAUUGCUAAUACCGCAUAAGCUAGUAGUAUCACAUGAUACAGCUAGAAAGGAGUAAUCCGCUGAUAGAUGGGCUUGCGCCUGAUUAGCUAGUUGUGGGGGUAACGGCCUACCAAGGCGACGAUCAGUAGCCGAACUGAGAGGUUGAACGGCCACAUUGGGACUGAGAUACGGCCCAGACUCCUACGGGAGGCAGCAGUCGGGAAUAUUGCGCAAUGGAGGAAACUCUGACGCAGUGACGCCGCGUAUAGGAAGAAGGUUUUCGGAUUGUAAACUAUUGUCGUGAGGGAAGAAGAUGACAGUACCUCAGGAGGAAGCUCCGGCUAACUAUGCG
Molecule: ribosomal RNA, 491 nt
Filed under: uncultured bacterium
Lineage: Bacteria
Description: bacterial SSU rRNA
Rfam family: Bacterial small subunit ribosomal RNA
Source: RNAcentral